UGACGUCUCUAGAAGACAUCUGAAGGAGAUUUAAAAGAUUUUAUCGGUGAUGGAUGGGGAUGCGUCUGAUUAGCUUGUUGGCGGGGUAACGGCCCACCAAGGCGACGAUCAGUAGGGGUUCUGAGAGGAAGGCCCCCCACAUUGGAACUGAGACACGGUCCAAACUCCUACGGGAGGCAGCAGUGAGGAAUAUUGGUCAAUGGACGAGAGUCUGAACCAGCCAAGUAGCGUGCAGGAUGACGGCCCUAUGGGUUGUAAACUGCUUUUAUAAGGGAAUAAAGUGAGUCUCGUGAGACUUUUUGCAUGUACCUUAUGAAUAAGGACCGGCUAAUUCCGUG
RNAcentral lists this ribosomal RNA (338 nucleotides) under uncultured bacterium. Its description in RNAcentral is "bacterial SSU rRNA". It matches the Rfam family "Bacterial small subunit ribosomal RNA", at positions 173 to 507 of the family's 1533-position model. The record is from RNAcentral.